This 406-nucleotide ribosomal RNA is filed under the name uncultured bacterium. RNAcentral describes it as "partial 16S ribosomal RNA". It matches the Rfam family "Bacterial small subunit ribosomal RNA", at positions 30 to 526 of the family's 1533-position model. The record is from RNAcentral.
AUUGAACGCUGGCGGCAGGCCUAACACAUGCAAGUCGAGCGCGCGGCGAACGGGUGAGUACUGUCUGGGAAACUGCCUGAUGGAGGGGGAUAACUACUGGAAAAGGUAGCUAAUACCGCAUACCAUCAGAUGUGCCCAGUUGGGAUUAGCUAGUAGGUGGGGUAACGGCUCACCUGGGCGACGAUCCCUAGCUGGUCUGAGAGGAUGACCAGCCACACGGGAACUGAGACACGGUCCAGACGCCUACGGGAGGCAGCAGUGGGGAAUAUUGCACAAUGGGCGCAAGCCUGAUCCAGCCACGCCGCGUGAGUGAAGAAGGUCUUCGGAUUGUAAAGCACUUUAAGUUGGGAGGCGUUACCAACACAAUAAGCAACGGCUAACUUCGUGCCAGCCGCCGCGGUAAUAC